This 73-nucleotide transfer RNA is filed under the name Roseofilum reptotaenium AO1-A. It matches the Rfam family "tRNA". Rfam says of the family: Transfer RNA (tRNA) molecules are approximately 80 nucleotides in length. Their secondary structure includes four short double-helical elements and three loops (D, anti-codon, and T loops). The record is from Rfam by way of RNAcentral. RNAcentral also lists the same sequence under 10 other names. Lineage: Bacteria; Bacillati; Cyanobacteriota; Cyanophyceae; Desertifilales; Desertifilaceae.
GCUGGUGUAACUCAGUUGGUAGAGUAGCUGAUUUGUAAUCAGCCUGUCAGGAGUUCGAGUCUCCUCACCAGCU